CUGGAUUGGGAGCUCCCAAGGGCAUUAUCCUAACAUCCUCACAGAGGAAGAGGAGGCUCCAGGGCUGAAGUGCCAGGUCACCGAGCUCCACGACAUGCUGAUGAAGGAUGUGGGCAACUGCAUUAGUGCUGACAGCAGGUCAGCACUCAGGCUCGGCCCAGGACACCAACUAUACAGAUACCAUGAACCCAGAGCACCUGAGACUAUCCGGAUGGCGCUGCUGGGGGCACUGAGGUAUGGGAAGCUGCUGGUGUUUGACUUUCGAGAGGUGGACCUGUUUCCUGUGGUGAAGCGGCAGCUGGAGGCCGUGCAGCCAGGCCUGGCUCAGGCACUGCUGAGCCAUGGGCUCCUAGCACAAGAGCGGUACCUGUCACUGCUGCGGCCCACUGAUGGGGCAGAGUUAUGAUCCUGCCCAGUUCCAGGAGGCGCGCCUGGAGCAAUUCCGCCUCUUUUUUUGUCACCCAGGUGCAGUGGCUGCCAACUGAGCAACUCCAAGUCCUGCUCCCUGUGCAGCUGCCCAGCAGAGGUCUCUAGUGCUGCCCCCAAUAAAGCACACACUGCAUCCCUGACUGCACCAGUCCAGACCCUGACUACUAGAUAUUGGAUCCCAGGGCCUGGCAGGGGAACCCUGCUAGGGAAAGGCCAAAGAUUGGGAGCCAGCCUGGUGGAACCAAUGGAUGGACAGACAGGGUAAAACGUAGUCAACUUUAUUCUCCUUAAACCACAAAAUAGAGUCUUUGGUUGUACAAACAUCACUAGUUACAGUCUUGCCAAGAGAUCCUGGCUUGGGAGGGGGCGGGAGUUAGAGCCAGAACUCCUGAGGGGUCUCUUCAAAAUGCUAACACCCAGGUUAAAAGACUCGGGGCAAGGGCAGUAUUGGAGCUGGCAGCAACCCCACCCCAAGUCCGGGGAGGCACAGCUCCCUAGGAGGGCACAGGGCCCAGGCCGCGGCGCCCAGGCCGCAUGGCUCGGCGGCUGCUGCACAGCGUCACGUCUUCAGGGCCCAUGGCACCUGGUGAGGGCCUUCCCAGGAGCACCAGGGCCACCUCUCCAUCCUCUUCCUGUGGGCCUGGGGACAGGGCCAGGGCCAGGGACACCAUGAGUCCAGUAUGGCCAAGGAACUGUGGAGCUUACUUAACCCAGCUAGGUGCCAACUCACCAGGGCUGGGAGAUGGUUCCAAGGACCUCAGCUCCUCCACAAAGUCUGGCGACUGCAAUGGAGAGAAGGGCUGGUCAGGGCCAAUCCCAGACCUGCCUGAAACCACCCACAUGGACUUGGCUGGUUCUUGGGCUCUGAGGCUCACAGAACUGGGCUGAAAUGGCAGGCAGGUGGGAAAACCCCACACCAGAGGAACAGGGCACAGAAGCACACAGAAAGGGAGGGGACAGAAGGGUGGUACAGGAGCUGCAACCGGGCCCAUGCACAUGUUCAUGCAGAAGAAAGGCCUGGAGGCACCAGUACCUGGAUGUCAUAGACAGGCCUGGAAGAAGGGAGGGCGGCAAAUGCCCUGUAGUCAAACUUCUUUCCAGACAAAGGCUUGAAAGGACAGCGUGAGGGGAAAAGAGGCACACACAGUUCGAGGGAGAGGUGAGGACAGUGGGUGGGGGCAGUCUGGACCCCCUCCCCUGUGCCGGGGGGUGCAGG
Molecule: long non-coding RNA, 1645 nt
Organism: Heterocephalus glaber (naked mole-rat)
Lineage: Eukaryota; Metazoa; Chordata; Mammalia; Rodentia; Bathyergidae
Source: Ensembl